This 460-nucleotide ribosomal RNA is filed under the name uncultured bacterium. Its description in RNAcentral is "partial 16S ribosomal RNA". It matches the Rfam family "Bacterial small subunit ribosomal RNA", at positions 338 to 795 of the family's 1533-position model. The record is from RNAcentral.
CCUACGGGAGGCAGCAGUGAGGAAUAUUGGUCAAUGGACGAGAGUCUGAACCAGCCAAGUAGCGUGAAGGAUGACUGCCCUAUGGGUUGUAAACUUCUUUUAUAUGGGAAUAAAAUGUUCCACGUGUGGGAUUUUGUAUGUACCAUAUGAAUAAGGAUCGGCUAACUCCGUGCCAGCAGCCGCGGUAAUACGGAGGAUCCGAGCGUUAUCCGGAUUUAUUGGGUUUAAAGGGAGCGUAGGCGGAUUGUUAAGUCAGUUGUGAAAGGUUGCGGCUCAACCGUAAAAUUGCAGUUGAAACUGGCAGUCUUGAGUACAGUAGAGGUGGGCGGAAUUCGUGGUGUAGCGGUGAAAUGCUUAGAUAUCACGAAGAACUCCGAUUGCGAAGGCAGCUCACUGGACUACAACUGACACUGAGGCUCGAAAGUGUGGGUAUCAAACAGGAUUAGAGACCCCUGUAGUC